UAGCUCAGCUGGAUAGAGCACCAGACUACGAAUCUGGGGGUCAGGAGUUCGAAUCUCUUCGGGUGCGCCA
This 70-nucleotide transfer RNA is filed under the name Agrobacterium sp. RNAcentral describes it as "tRNA-Arg". It matches the Rfam family "tRNA". Rfam says of the family: Transfer RNA (tRNA) molecules are approximately 80 nucleotides in length. Their secondary structure includes four short double-helical elements and three loops (D, anti-codon, and T loops). Further hydrogen bonds mediate the characteristic L-shaped molecular structure. tRNAs have two regions of fundamental functional importance: the anti-codon, which is responsible for specific mRNA codon recognition, and the 3' end, to which the tRNAs corresponding amino acid is attached (by aminoacyl-tRNA synthetases). tRNAs cope with the degeneracy of the genetic code in two manners: having more than one tRNA (with a specific anti-codon) for a particular amino acid; and 'wobble' base-pairing, i.e. permitting non-standard base-pairing at the 3rd anti-codon position. Lineage: Bacteria; Pseudomonadati; Pseudomonadota; Alphaproteobacteria; Hyphomicrobiales; Rhizobiaceae. The record is from RNAcentral.